Molecule: ribosomal RNA, 442 nt
Filed under: uncultured bacterium
Lineage: Bacteria
Description: bacterial SSU rRNA
Rfam family: Bacterial small subunit ribosomal RNA
Source: RNAcentral
CCUACGGGUUGCAGCAGUGGGGAAUUUUCCGCAAUGGGCGAAAGCCUGACGGAGCAACGCCGCGUGAGGGAUGAAGGCCUCUGGGCUGUAAACCUCUUUUAUCAAGGAAGAAGAUCUGACGGUACUUGAUGAAUAAGCCACGGCUAAUUCCGUGCCAGCAGCCGCGGUAAUACGGGAGUGGCAAGCGUUAUCCGGAAUUAUUGGGCGUAAAGCGUCCGCAGGCGGCCCUUCAAGUCUGCUGUUAAAAAGUGGAGCUUAACUCCAUCAUGGCAGUGGAAACUGUUGGGCUUGAGUGUGGUAGGGGCAGAGGGAAUUCCCGGUGUAGCGGUGAAAUGCGUAGAUAUCGGGAAGAACACCAGUGGCGAAGGCGCUCUGCUGGGCCAUCACUGACGCUCAUGGACGAAAGCCAGGGGAGCGAAAGGGAUUAGAUACCCUCGUAGUC